AUCCGGCUGACGAGUCCUAAACAGGACGAAACGCGCGUCCUGGAU
This 45-nucleotide non-coding RNA is filed under the name Schistosoma margrebowiei. The record is from RNAcentral. Lineage: Eukaryota; Metazoa; Platyhelminthes; Trematoda; Strigeidida; Schistosomatidae.